AGUAACACGUGGGUAACCUACCUAUAAGACUGGGAUAACUUCGGGAAACCGGAGCUAAUACCGGAUAACAUUUAGAACCGCAUGGUUCUAAAGUGAAAGAUGGUUUUGCUAUCACUUAUAGAUGGACCCGCGCCGUAUUAGCUAGUUGGUAAGGUAACGGCUUACCAAGGCGACGAUACGUAGCCGACCUGAGAGGGUGAUCGGCCACACUGGAACUGAGACACGGUCCACUCCUACGGGAGGCAGCAGUAGGGAAUCUUCCGCAAUGGGCGAAAGCCUGACGGAGCAACGCCGCGUGAGUGAUGAAGGGUUUCGGCUCGUAAAACUCUGUUAUUAGGGAAGAACAAAUGUGUAAGUAACUGUGCACAUCUUGACGGUACCUAAUCAGAAAGCCACGGCUAACUACGUGCCAGCAGCCGCGGUAAUACGUAGGUGGCAAGCGUUAUCCGGAAUUAUUGGGCGUAAAGCGCGCGUAGGCGGUUUCUUAAGUCUGAUGUGAAAGCCCACGGCUCAACCGUGGAGGGUCAUUGGAAACUGGGAAACUUGAGUGCAGAAGAGGAAAGUGGAAUUCCAUGUGUAGCGGUGAAAUGCGCAGAGAUAUGGAGGAACACCAGUGGCGAAGGCGACUUUCUGGUCUGUAACUGACGCUGAUGUGCGAAAGCGUGGGGAUCAAACAGGAUUAGAUACCCUGGUAGAGAUCCACGCCGUAAACGAUGAAGUGCUAAGUGUUAGGGGGUUUCCGCCCCUUUAGUGCUGCAGCUAACGCAUUAAGCACUCCGCCUGGGGAGUACGACCGCAAGGUUGAAACUCAAAGGAAUUGACGGGGACCCGCACAAGCGGUGGAGCAUGUGGUUUAAUUCGAAGCAACGCGAAGAACCUUACCAAAUCUUGACAUCCUUUGAAAACUCUAGAGAUAGAGCCUUCCCCUUCGGGGGACAAAGUGACAGGUGGUGCAUGGUUGUCGUCAGCUCGUGUCGUGAGAUGUUGGGUUAAGUCCCGCAACGAGCGCAACCCUUAAGCUUAGUUGCCAUCAUUAAGUUGGGCACUCUAGGUUGACUGCCGGUGACAAACCGGAGGAAGGUGGGGAUGACGUCAAAUCAUCAUGCCCCUUAUGAUUUGGGCUACACACGUGCUACAAUGGACAAUACAAAGGGCAGCUAAACCGCGAGGUCAUGCAAAUCCCAUAAAGUUGUUCUCAGUUCGGAUUGUAGUCUGCAACUCGACUAC
This 1227-nucleotide ribosomal RNA is filed under the name Staphylococcus saprophyticus. RNAcentral's name for it is "bacterial SSU rRNA". It matches the Rfam family "Bacterial small subunit ribosomal RNA", at positions 109 to 1319 of the family's 1533-position model. The record is from RNAcentral. Lineage: Bacteria; Bacillati; Bacillota; Bacilli; Caryophanales; Staphylococcaceae.